AUUGAACGCUGGCGGCAUGCCUUACACAUGCAAGUCGAACGGCAGCACGGGUGCUUGCACCUGGUGGCGAUUGGCGAACGGGUGAGUAAUACAUCGGAACAUGUCCUGUAGUGGGGGAUAGCCCGGCGAAAGCCGGAUUACUACCGCAUACGAUCUACGGAUGAAAGCGGGGGCCCUUCGGGCCUCGCGCUAUAGGGUUGGCCGAUGGCUGAUUAGCUAGUUGGUGGGGUAAAGGCCUACCAAGGCGACGAUCAGUAGCUGGUCUGAGAGGACGACCAGCCACACUGGGACUGAGACACGGCCCAGACUCCUACGGGAGGCAGCAGUGGGGAAUUUUGGACAAUGGGCGAAAGCCUGAUCCAGCAAUGCCGCGUGUGUGAAGAAGGCCUUCGGGUUGUAAAGCACUUUUGUCCGGAAAGAAAUCCUUGGCCCUAAUACGGUCGGGGGAUGACGGUACCGGAAGAAUAAGCACCGGCUAACUACGUG
RNAcentral lists this ribosomal RNA (486 nucleotides) under uncultured bacterium. RNAcentral describes it as "partial 16S ribosomal RNA". It matches the Rfam family "Bacterial small subunit ribosomal RNA", at positions 30 to 507 of the family's 1533-position model. The record is from RNAcentral.